CCUACGGGAGGCAGCAGUGGGGAAUAUUGGACAAUGGGGGCAACCCUGAUCCAGCAAUUCUGUGUGCACGAAGAAGGUUUUCGGAUUGUAAAGUGCUUUCAGCAGGGAAGAAGAAAGUGACGGUACCUGCAGAAGAAGCGACGGCUAAAUACGUGCCAGCAGCCGCGGUAAUACGUAUGUCGCGAGCGUUAUCCGGAAUUAUUGGGCAUAAAGGGCAUCUAGGCGGCCCUGUAAGUCUAGGGUGAAAACCUGCGGCUCAACCGCAGGCCUGCCCCGGAAACUACAGGGCUAGAGUGCUGGAGAGGUGGACGGAACUGCACGAGUAGAGGUGAAAUUCGUAGAUAUGUGCAGGAAUGCCGAUGAUGAAGAUAGUUCACUGGACGGCAACUGACGCUGAAGUGCGAAAGCUAGGGGAGCAAACAGGAUUAGAUACCCGGGUAGUC
This 443-nucleotide ribosomal RNA is filed under the name uncultured Leptotrichia sp. RNAcentral describes it as "bacterial SSU rRNA". It matches the Rfam family "Bacterial small subunit ribosomal RNA", at positions 338 to 795 of the family's 1533-position model. Lineage: Bacteria; Fusobacteriati; Fusobacteriota; Fusobacteriia; Fusobacteriales; Leptotrichiaceae. The record is from RNAcentral.